Molecule: unclassified non-coding RNA, 352 nt
Filed under: Hevea brasiliensis (rubber tree)
Lineage: Eukaryota; Viridiplantae; Streptophyta; Magnoliopsida; Malpighiales; Euphorbiaceae
Source: RNAcentral
GAAAAAAGAACAUAUUGUUUAGAAGACAUUUGAUAAUUGGAGCAUCAAAAAUUCUCGAAAAAAAGACAUGAAAGUAACAUAUACAAGUUCGCCAUAUAUAACCCCCUUAUUAUGUGACAUAACAGAGCAGGGGGUUUGGCGACAACGUCUUUGGCUGCAGCAUGUCUCUCUAUAACAAUCCCGCGUUUGGAAAGAUGAAACAAAAAGUAGAUUAAGGACCCCUUGGCCCUCCCAAAAAAAGAACCAAAAUGUCACAAACUAAAUUAUUUUGGUGAAGAGAACAAAAGAAAGUCACAGAUUUUUAUAAUCUAUCUAGGCUGCAGAUUCCUUUGCAAUCUUCUCUGCCUUGGCA